AAAUUGAAGAGUUUGAUCAUGGCUCAGAUUGAACGCUGGCGGCAGGCCUAACACAUGCAAGUCGAGCGGAAACGAGUUAUCAGAACCUUCGGGGGACGAUAACGGCGUCGAGCGGCGGACGGGUGAGUAAUGCCUAGGAAAUUGCCCUGAUGUGGGGGAUAACCAUUGGAAACGAUGGCUAAUACCGCAUGAUGCCUACGGGCCAAAGAGGGGGACCUUCGGGCCUCUCGCGUCAGGAUAUGCCUAGGUGGGAUUAGCUAGUUGGUGAGGUAAGGGCUCACCAAGGCGACGAUCCCUAGCUGGUCUGAGAGGAUGAUCAGCCACACUGGAACUGAGACACGGUCCAGACUCCUA
RNAcentral lists this ribosomal RNA (354 nucleotides) under Vibrio parahaemolyticus. RNAcentral describes it as "bacterial SSU rRNA". It matches the Rfam family "Bacterial small subunit ribosomal RNA", at positions 1 to 341 of the family's 1533-position model. The record is from RNAcentral. Lineage: Bacteria; Pseudomonadati; Pseudomonadota; Gammaproteobacteria; Vibrionales; Vibrionaceae.